Molecule: small RNA, 35 nt
Filed under: Bombyx mori (domestic silkworm)
Lineage: Eukaryota; Metazoa; Arthropoda; Insecta; Lepidoptera; Bombycidae
Description: ovarian small RNA-11380
Source: RNAcentral
ACCUGAAAUUCUUCGAAGCUCAAUUCUCAAGGGGG